This 405-nucleotide ribosomal RNA is filed under the name uncultured bacterium. Its description in RNAcentral is "partial 16S ribosomal RNA". It matches the Rfam family "Bacterial small subunit ribosomal RNA", at positions 28 to 526 of the family's 1533-position model. The record is from RNAcentral.
GACGAACGCUGGCGGCGUGCUUAACACAUGCAAGUCGAGCGGAGAGGCGAACGGGUGAGUAAAGCGUGAGUAACUGCCCCCCUCUCUGGGAUAAAAGUUGGAAACGGCUGCUAAUACCGGAUAGUGGGGGAUGACUCGCGUCCUAUCAGCUUGUUGGUGGGGUAGUGGCCUACCAAGGCGACGACGGGUAGCCGGCCUGGGAGGUCGACCGGCCACAUUGGGCUGAGGUACGGCCCAAACGCCUACGGGAGGCAGCAGUGGGGAAUCUUGCACAAUGGGGCAAACCCUGAGGCAGCAACGCCGCGUGCGGGAUGACGGCCUUCGGGUUGUAAACCGCUUUCAGUCAUUACGCGGUAGUGGCAGAAGAAGCACCGGCUAACUUCGUGCCAGCCGCCGCGGUAAUUC